AGCAAUGUGGUGCAGUGGUUUGAGUGUUGGAUUAGGACUCUGGAGACCAGGGUUCAAAUCCUAGCUCGGCCA
Molecule: transfer RNA, 72 nt
Filed under: Phrynosoma platyrhinos (Desert horned lizard)
Lineage: Eukaryota; Metazoa; Chordata; Lepidosauria; Squamata; Phrynosomatidae
Description: tRNA-OTHER
Source: RNAcentral